Molecule: non-coding RNA, 416 nt
Organism: Schistosoma haematobium
Lineage: Eukaryota; Metazoa; Platyhelminthes; Trematoda; Strigeidida; Schistosomatidae
Source: Rfam
AACCUUUCAUCUGUAUCUGUGUUAAACAGAUGUUGGUAGCUUGACGAGUCUGUCUUAUUCACCUAUCUAUAUGAUUUCGGAUGCCUUAAAACAGAUGUCGGGAGCAGACGGUAUGUUUACUUUGAACAAAUUUGAGUGCCCAAAGCAGGACUUUGCGCCUAAAAAUUCUUUCAUGGAAUAAUGACAUAGGACUUCAUUUCUAUUUUGUUUGUUUUCAGGUCCGAAGUAAUGGUUAAGACGGACAGACAAGGGCAUUUUGUAAGGUGAUGUUAGAGAUGAAAUUCUAGGAUCACUGUCAGACAAACUACAGCGAAACCAUUUGCCAAGAAUGUUUUCAUUGAACAGAAGCUAAAGUCAGAGUUCUGAAGAUGAUCAGAUAACGUUAGCGUUAAUCUCCAACUAUUCUAAUAUGAAAU